GACGAACGCUGGCGGCGUGCUUAACACAUGCAAGUCGAACGGAAAGGCCCUGCUUUUGUGGGGUGCUCGAGUGGCGAACGGGUGAGUAACACGUGAGUAACCUGCCCUUGACUUUGGGAUAACUUCAGGAAACUGGGGCUAAUAUCGGAUAGGAGCUCCUGCUGCAUGGUGGGGGUUGGAAAGUUUCGGCGGUUGGGGAUGGACUCGCGGCUUAUCAGCUUGUUGGUGGGGUAGUGGCUUACCAAGGCUUUGACGGGUAGCCGGCCUGAGAGGGUGACCGGCGACAUUGGGCCUGCGAGACGGCCCAGACUCCUACGGUAGGCAGCAGUGGGGAAUAUUGCGCAAUGGGCGGAAGCCUGAUGCAGCAACGCCGCGUGCGGGAUGACGGCCUUCGGGUUGUAAACCGCUUUCGCCUGUGACGAAGCGUGAGUGACGGUAAUGGGUAAAGAAGCACCGGCUAACUACGUG
Molecule: ribosomal RNA, 468 nt
Filed under: uncultured bacterium
Lineage: Bacteria
Description: partial 16S ribosomal RNA
Rfam family: Bacterial small subunit ribosomal RNA
Source: RNAcentral